CACAGACUUCUGGAGAAAUUUCCAGCGCAACAUCUUGUUCUGAUGGGCAGAUACUGACCUCACAGGGAGCACAACAGUUCUCUGUUACUACUUCAGCAAAAACAUCAAAAGAUGAAGCGCAUAUCCAACCUGCAAACUCAACUAUGUUCCAGAAAAUCGAUACCAAGGAAAAUGGGAAUCUCUGUUUAGUGGCUGAUAACUGUCUCCAGGGACGUCAGAGAGAUAAUCAUGAGGUAGUUAAUGAGCACUCUCCAAAAAGAAAAAGAAUGCCAGAGGUAGAUGAGUCACGUAAGCAUCAGUCAGAUGGUGAUACACAGAAAAAAUUACAGCUAAGGGAGAAGCUGGGCACCUCGCAGUCUGUAGAAGAGAAAGAAACCUUGGUCCUUGAUAUUCAAGGUGGCUCCACUGCAAAUUGCACUAAAUUUUCUAAGAAAAGAAGGGUUUCUUGUGAGAAAAAGACAGUUAUGCGGAACUCUCUUGAGCUUAACCGGUCAGUCAGGACUCAAGGAAAUAAAGCUGGAAGUACACAGGUCGCUUGGAAUACUAUGUGCCUCUCUACUGCUAAAGGACAUGCUGCAUCAGCACUAUUUCUGGAAGACAUUGUUGCUACAGAUGUUAUGAAGUUGUUGGAGUUGGAGAAACCAGAAGAUGAAAGUCAUUACAACAUGGCAAGAGAAUCACUUCUAUCCCCGGAUCUUCCUCAGGUAGAUUUUUUGGAUAGUCUGAUCGUGAACGAAGACAAGAAUCCUGCUACGGCUCUUGACUUGGUUGCUAGAGAUAAUGUGGAUUUAAGUGAUACCAUAAAUUCUAGCGAAGCUUUCAGCACUCAGAGUGCUUCGGUGACCGACAAAAUGCCACCCAUGUCAACAACGGUGCAUGAUGACACUCUUAGACAUUUUGUUGUGUUUUCAAAUAUUGAAGACCAGAUCAGUAUCAUCAGAAUUUUCCAUGCUGCAAACAAUUGUAUUCAGCGAUGCCCAUCAAUUACUAGAGCAGAGUGGGCAGUGCCAGCAAUUCUGUUCUCUUUGAAAAUGGAAGAAAACCUUUUGGCCCGGUAGGUUAUUCUGCUUGCUGAUACUUCCUUAACUGCAUAAUGUUGAUAUAUAUUACCUUCUAAAUUCCAUCAGUAAACUAGUUGUCUGGGCGCUAAUAUGUUCCUUGUUGUUUUUUUCAGGGACAGGGUAUGUGUUUUCCUCUCCUUGCUGUUGCAUAACUUCUCUGUGGUUUCCUCGAUGAAUAUUGGGAACAUUCUGGAUGAUAAUGCUUGUUCCUGCUUGGACUCUUGCAAAGCCAAGUCUUUCUUCUCUUUUGUAUCCAGACUUACUUAGAGUUUAUGUUUUUGUGUUUGUUAUGGUUUUUUGCAGAAAUAUCAUUUGAACCAUCACUUCAGGAUUCAGGACAAGGGAUUUGGUAUAACAUCAUCUCUAUGGGACAUAGUGUUUGGGACACUACCCACCACAAAAGCCCCUAAAAGAGAGCAGUAGUGUACUAAGUUUCAAAACUAAAAGGAUAUUUGGGAACACAGUUAAAUCUUAAAUUUAUUGAUCAUCAUCCCUCAUGAGUUUUGAGAUGUUUGUCUGAGGUUUUCAUUUGGAUCACUGUCUUUGUAAAUCUAUGUUUCUUAUCCUAUUUAAUAGUUGUGGUGUGUUACUCAGCGAAAACAAUCAAAAGUGUUUACUAACAAAACGUAUGUAUUAAAACCAAAAAUUAUAAUUUGUAUGAGUUUUACACCCUGUUAAGACUUCUCGUACGGUGAUUCCGGACCUAGCGACUUAUUGAAAAUGCGGAGAGUACGCAGGAUAUACACGGAGCGGAUUUUUUUUACUAAUUUAAUAUUUGUAAUGUAGCAUACGUUUAAAAACUAUACAUUCCAGAAUUAACGUAAGUAGUGCCGUAGUCUGGUGGUUAUUUUAGUUUGUUUGACAUCGAUAUACCAUAAAUGCAUUUUUUAAUUUUUUUUAUUAAAAAAAAGAUAAAAUUGUAAUUUUCAUUGCGUCUUCUUCCUUAACCUAUUUUUACAGAUUUUACCUUGCAACCGUUUCCUAUUUGUUCUUCGUCAAAAAUCAUCAUUUUUGGGUUGAUUAGCUUCGAUUCAACUUUGUUUCUUUGUUUAUACCAUUAAAAUACGACAUAUCUAUGUUAUAUUUAUCGAUUUCAGACACAAAAUCACCAAAACAUAGAUGAAUUUUUUCAACCGCGUUUUUGAUUGAGUAUACCAUAAUCGCGGUGACGGAGCUCCGCCGAACACUUCACCGGCGCGGAAUCGGUCACUCCGGCCGCGUUUUCGAACAUGGUUUUACAUAGAUUACAAGUUAUAAGAUUCGUCCUAUAAACUUUUGAAUGCUUUCUAAUUUAAAAUUUAAAAUUUCAACUGUGAAGUUCCAACUAUUUAAGAAUACUUCAAUUCUUAAAAAAUGGAUUUGUCUUAUAUAUUCAUCUGAUUAGUUUUCUGACCAACUCAUUAAAAGACUAUAUAAUAUGAGGCAAAUUUUGAAGAAAAUCCAAAUAAAUAAGUGCGUUGGGCCGGGCCUAGUUAAAGAUAUAAAAUCAAUACUCACUGAACCGACCCGACUCGACUUGACUCGACCCGACCCGAGAUCCAAGUGCUGGAGGUCCUGUAUCUUACUCCGUUGUCCGCUCAACCUUCUUCUCAAACUCUGCACUCUUCUUCGCACUCAAAUUAGGGUUUAAGUAAGAUUUUUUGAAUUUUCGUUUCUUCCGAUUACAUUCUCUUAUCACCCCCGCUUCUAUUUAACGGCGAGUGGUCUCCCAUUUUAUGCGAGAGAGUUCGUCCGAGAAUCGGAGGAGUUCCCCUCGCAAAUGGCUGCUAAUGCUCCACUCGAGUCGCCCUCAGGGAGCCCCCGCUGCAUCGCGGUACGUAUCUCAUCAAGUCUCUGUGUUUAUCGAUUCUAAUCCCCUUGGGGCUGUAUAUUUCAGUGGCAAGGGAAGUACCUAGGCAUGAAGAAGAGGCGUGAUGCUUGUAAAGAAGCCAUAGAGAUUCUCCAGAAGGCCAUGGCUGCCGCUAAUGACGAGAAAGCCAAUCUCCAGAAAAGUAAAUCUUCUGACUUUCUUCAUUUGAAUUUUGGCACUGUAUGUGAAGUAGCUAGUGACAGAGGAGGUUAGCUUUCUGCUUUUGAUGUGUUGUACUUUCAACUUGAUAUAGACACUAGAGUAGAUUAUAGUUGUAUGCCACGUAUCUAUGUGUUUGAUUUGGAGUAGUGUUAACUCUUCCCAUAUUAUGAUUCUUUAGCGAUUUUAACUGAGUUAUCUAACUUGCAGCUACUAGUGAUAUGUCCUAUAUGGUUUGAGACUUUGGUUGUGUAGAUUGGGUGGAAAGAUGGUUUUGUUACUAUAACUCUUAAAUCUUGUUGUUGUGUUUUAACUGGUCACUGCUUACUUGCUAUCUGAAUCUUACAGAACUUAGGGAGAUGGCGGAUAACAGGGACGCUCAGGAAGAUGAGUCAGUGGAAAAAUCAUCUUUGGAGAAGGAGAUCUGUGUUUUGAAGUCUGAGAUACUGACUUUGCAAAAAAGAUUGGAGCGUCGUAACCUUCAAGAGAGAAGUGAAGAGGUAGAAUUUCUUCAGGGUUCUAGUGGGGAAAAGGAGAUCAGUGAACUGAAGAGCCUCCUUAAGAAAGAAACAUUAAGGGCGGAUAAUUCUGAAGAAGAGAGGGAACAAAUUUGUAAAGAGUUGAACAAGACAAAGGCUCUGUUGGUGAAAUAUGAGGAUAUCAAGCCACACGUUCCUGAGGUGGAAAAGGAAAUAAGUCUGGUUAAGAAUCUUCUUGCAAGCGAGAGGCAUAAGACAGAGUCUGAGAGGAAGAAAGCAGAAGCAGAGAAAAAGAAAGCUGAUCAGUAUCUUUCUGAGUUGGUGGUUUUAAGAAGUACAGCUCAGAAGACUAGUUCGGAUUUACGUGCUUUGAGCUCCAGUAUUGAGACUGUGAAAAAGCAGCUCGAGUCUGAAAAACAAAAGACACUGAAAGAGAGAAAACGUGCGGAUAUGGAGAGUGCAAAAGCUAAGGAACAGAUGAAGCUGGCAGAAGAUUUGUCUAAGAAGUUUGAAAUUAUUAGAGCUAGAAAUGAAGAGCUCAAGAAAGAAGCGGAAUUGCAGAGCGCUAGUAGCAAAGUAAAGUUUGCUGAAAACUCGGCAAAACUGGAAGAGAAGAUAAGGAUUAAUAAGAACGAAGCGAUGGCCUGGAAAUCUCGUGCUGAUGAUCUGACUCAGCAAUUACAAGAAGUACAAUUAGUGACUGAGGGUUUGAAAAACAGGUGCAUGAGCUUUCUCUCUCCCAAAAAUCUGCUCAGACUUGCUCAAUUUCUCCUCAUCAAGUUAGAGACCUGGAAAAGGCUAAAGUGAGGCUUUUGAAAAAAGAGUUGAAGUUCAAGAGGAAAUGUGCAAAACACUCCAAAGAGGUGGCUGAGUUUGAAAGGUUCCGAAGAGAAUUUCAGGCGGAAGAAAUAGGUCGGUUAACACUUGAGUUCCGUAGUCUUACAAAUCGUAUGAACCUGCUGGAUAAGUUUUCAAGAGGUACAUCUGGCCGUGCAAAGGUUUGUUUAUGCCAUAAAUUUCUUACUCUACACUUUCUUCUCAUCAUAUUUGAAGAUUGGCUUGAGACCAAAUAUAUGUUUUGACAUUGUAUACUUUCUCAACAUUAGGUUACAUGAUAGAUGGUUUGUGAUUGACAUGGUAAAAAAAACGAAUCAAACUGUCUAUUUACAUCUUCUGUUUUCCGAAGAGAAUAUCUAGGUUUAUGCAUGUGGCUCAAACAUUCUCAACUUAGCUGAAACAGUCAGUUGAAGUUAUCUGAGCGUGAGCAUUUAGGCUAUAGUCUGUUGAUAGCGACAUAGAAUCUGACUGACUGUAGAAGCGAGAAUAGUUACUCUGUUUUAGACUUUGAAAUAGUGGCUUCUAUCCUAGCAUGGAACAUUUACAACAUAAUACUGCUUUAAUGCUUAGUUGUUUAGAUCAUUUUAAUUUCUUACUAAUCUUUUUAUGGUUCCUAUUAUGGCGGAGGACCGAAUGAAAUUGCAGAUGGUACAAUCCCAGAAGAACCGUAGUGGUGGAAAGCAUUCUGACGCAAGGUGCCAGUUGGUAGCAAGCUCUGGUUCUCAGGAGAAGGUUCGCAAGCUCUCUACUCAGUUAAUUGCUAAAUCCAGACAGGGCGUGUAUGAAUCUGUCUUAGGUACUAUUUCUCAAUUGGAAUCUCCUACUGGAGGCUCUAGAAAAUCACAGACUUCUGGAGAAAUUUCCAGCGCAACAUCUUGUUCUGAUGGGCAGAUACUGACCUCACAGGGAGCACAACAGUUCUCUGUUACUACUUCAGCAAAAACAUCAAAAGAUGAAGCGCAUAUCCAACCUGCAAACUCAACUAUGUUCCAGAAAAUCGAUACCAAGGAAAAUGGGAAUCUCUGUUUAGUGGCUGAUAACUGUCUCCAGGGACGUCAGAGAGAUAAUCAUGAGGUAGUUAAUGAGCACU
Molecule: long non-coding RNA, 5475 nt
Filed under: Brassica napus (rape)
Lineage: Eukaryota; Viridiplantae; Streptophyta; Magnoliopsida; Brassicales; Brassicaceae
Description: long non-coding RNA (BNAP_LNC012997)
Source: RNAcentral